GAUAGAAGACAGCUGCUACACCUGUGACCACCAGAUUCAUUUGCUGGGAGUUCUGGAAAUGCACGUUGUGGAGAGAAGUAACUUCUGUCAUGCCAAGGAGGACUACUCCCCUUCAGGAUGCCACUAAUCACAUCCUUGCAGGAAGAGACAAGAAUUCAGUGUUAGAAAUCAAAUAUAUUAAUCCAGUUAAAGUGCAGUGCAAAAAGGAAGAGAUGUGGCUUCCCAUCUGCUUCGAUCAACUUCAUUCUACAAUUUGGUGCCUUGUGCUCAUCGUUUACCAGUCAUCCAAAUGACCUAUCUUCAAGUGCUCCAUCAAUGCUGCAAAUGUACAAACAUCAUGCACUAAACAGACGUUUAUAGUGACACUUGUACCUUCAUUU
Molecule: long non-coding RNA, 380 nt
Organism: Alosa alosa (allis shad)
Lineage: Eukaryota; Metazoa; Chordata; Actinopteri; Clupeiformes; Clupeidae
Exons: 3
Source: RefSeq, a predicted model, not a curated record